GAUGAACGCUGGCGGCGUGCCUAAUACAUGCAAGUCGAGCGAACGGACGAGAAGCUUGCUUCUCUGAUGUUAGCGGCGGACGGGUGAGUAACACGUGGAUAACCUACCUAUAAGACUGGGAUAACUUCGGGAAACCGGAGCUAAUACCGGAUAAUAUUUUGAACCGCAUGGUUCAAAAGUGAAAGACGGUCUUGCUGUCACUUAUAGAUGGAUCCGCGCUGCAUUAGCUAGUUGGUAAGGUAACGGCUUACCAAGGCAACGAUGCAUAGCCGACCUGAGAGGGUGAUCGGCCACACUGGAACUGAGACACGGUCCAGACUCCUACGGGAGGCAGCAGUAGGGAAUCUUCCGCAAUGGGCGAAAGCCUGACGGAGCAACGCCGCGUGAGUGAUGAAGGUCUUCGGAUCGUAAAACUCUGUUAUUAGGGAAGAACAUAUGUGUAAGUAACUGUGCACAUCUUGACGGUACCUAAUCAGAAAGCCACGGCUAACUACGUGCCAGCAGCCGCGGUAAUACGUAGGUGGCAAGCGUUAUCCGGAAUUAUUGGGCGUAAAGCGCGCGUAGGCGGUUUUUUAAGUCUGAUGUGAAAGCCCACGGCUCAACCGUGGAGGGUCAUUGGAAACUGGAAAACUUGAGUGCAGAAGAGGAAAGUGGAAUUCCAUGUGUAGCGGUGAAAUGCGCAGAGAUAUGGAGGAACACCAGUGGCGAAGGCGACUUUCUGGUCUGUAACUGACGCUGAUGUGCGAAAGCGUGGGGAUCAAACAGGAUUAGAUACCCUGGUAGUCCACGCCGUAAACGAUGAGUGCUAAGUGUUAGGGGGUUUCCGCCCCUUAGUGCUGCAGCUAACGCAUUAAGCACUCCGCCUGGGGAGUACGACCGCAAGGUUGAAACUCAAAGGAAUUGACGGGGACCCGCACAAGCGGUGGAGCAUGUGGUUUAAUUCGAAGCAACGCGAAGAACCUUACCAAAUCUUGACAUCCUUUGACAACUCUAGAGAUAGAGCUUUCCCCUUCGGGGGACAAAGUGACAGGUGGUGCAUGGUUGUCGUCAGCUCGUGUCGUGAGAUGUUGGGUUAAGUCCCGCAACGAGCGCAACCCUUAAGCUUAGUUGCCAUCAUUAAGUUGGGCACUCUAAGUUGACUGCCGGUGACAAACCGGAGGAAGGUGGGGAUGACGUCAAAUCAUCAUGCCCCUUAUGAUUUGGGCUACACACGUGCUACAAUGGACAAUACAAAGGGCAGCGAAACCGCGAGGUCAAACAAAUCCCAUAAAGUUGUUCUCAGUUCGGAUUGUAGUCUGCAACUCGACUACAUGAAGCUGGAAUCGCUAGUAAUCGUAGAUCAGCAUGCUACGGUGAAUACGUUCCCGGGUCU
Molecule: ribosomal RNA, 1372 nt
Filed under: uncultured bacterium
Lineage: Bacteria
Description: bacterial SSU rRNA
Rfam family: Bacterial small subunit ribosomal RNA
Source: RNAcentral